Molecule: long non-coding RNA, 25198 nt
Filed under: Eucalyptus grandis
Lineage: Eukaryota; Viridiplantae; Streptophyta; Magnoliopsida; Myrtales; Myrtaceae
Description: long non-coding RNA (EGRA_LNC001507)
Source: RNAcentral
UUGGCUUGCAUCUAGAAAUGUCUAAAGCUUGUGGAGCUCCUAGCCUCCAAGCCCCCGGGGCUCAAUUAGUUUGGCGUAGUCUCGUGCGACAAUUGACUAGCAUCAUGAAAUCUAUAUACUUUAUAGGUAUCUCAAUCCUUUGAGCCCUGAGAUGUCUGAUAGUUUCCAACAAUCUGUCACUAUCAAGUUCCUUAAAUCUUCAAAUUUCCAAACAACUAGAAAUUUUGCUAACAACUUGCAUCCUUGAAUACACAAACUUUUGCAGGAUGAGAACACCUCUAGGCUUUGAAUGUCAUCUAGCUUUUCACAGUGGUUGAUGUUCAACCUUUUCAGGGUUUUUUUUUUUUUUCAGGGUUCAACCAUUUCAGGGUUUUCAAGCAUGAGAGAUCCAAUAAUCUUCCAAGGGAAGUGCAACCACGAAUAUCCAAUAUUACCCAGAAAAUCCAGUCCAUCAAGGCCACAUUUCAACUACACUCUUAAAGUUAGCAACAUGAAACCUCCCAAAUUCUUCAAACUAGAAGGUUAUCUUUCGAUGGAUGUGCAAUUAGAGAUAUCCAAUCUUACAAAUAAUCAACCUCUCAAGGCCAUGAAUUUCAACUAGAUUCCCGCAAUCUGUAGCACAAAAUCCCUUUAGAGAUUUUGAACUUGAAAGGUCUCUUUAUCUUUCAAUGGAUCGAAAAUCUGGCCAUCUUUUUAAUGGACAUUCAUUUAAAGACAUAAAACCUUCUCAAAGAUUCUACAAGUGCAUUGCCCAUUUUUCCUUUAGCGCUCUUUGUCAUAUCAUUUAGAAAAAUAGGAAUAGCAUCAUAUUCAAAGAUCAGCCUCUUACAAUCCCGGCCAUGAAGAACCAUCUCUUCAAAGUGGUCCGAGACAAGGCUGUCACCUUUAAGAACGUAGAAGAUAAUAUUAGAAAUAGAAGGUUGUAGAGAAGUUGGGGCCUAAACCCGAUUAUUUUCUCAGGGGACCCAUAGGUUGGCUACUUUGGAUCUAAUAGUGCCCUCUCUCCCCGCUUGAGGCUUGCUUGGUAGUCGGUUGUCCAUGCCGUGCUUCUCUUUCGGUGUUUGUGUUGUAGUGUGUGUGCCGCGGUUGCGGCUUUUACAUCUUGGCACACUUCCACUCCUUAUGAUCCUUCAUUUGGAGUGUAAAUUUCUAGUGACGAGAUCUUUUGUACAUUUAGCCUUUCCUCAAUAUAUUGAUUACUUUUUACCAAAUAAAAAAUAAAAAAUUUCUUAGUCUUUAAGCUGGAAAAGUUUGGAGAUCUUUUAAUAGAAGUACACCUAGAGAGAUUCAAUCUUGCCAAUAAAUAUAACCUGUAAAGACCAUGAAUUUCAACUAGAUUUCGGCAAUUUGCAGCAUGGAAUAUUUUAAUGGACGAGCAUCCAGAGAGAUAUAGAACGUUUCUAGAUAUUCUAAAUGGCUCAAAGCCUCAAACUUCGACUAAAUUCUCGCUGUAUGCAGCAUCUGAUUCUCUUAGAUUCUUUUUAAACUUGAAAGGAAAAGUAAUUGAAUGGACAUGGAACUAGAGAUAUUCAAACUUACCACGCUCUUGUGAUUGGCAACACAUGAUAGAUUUAGAUGUUUCGAACUUAAAAGGUCCUGCGAAUCUCAACUAGAUUCUCGCGACUCGCAGCAAUUUGUUUCCCGUGGAAUCUUCAAAGUUGAAGGAUCUGGUGACCCUUCGGCUCAUUUCCCACAGAGAAUUUGGGCUUGUUGCCUCUGGAGAAUCUGGGAACGCCUAAUCAAUGUCGAAGUCUAACUAAUGCCAAAACUUUUUGUGUCUGGUAGCUGUAGCCCCAACCACUAGGACCACUCCAUCUCCACCACCACCUGGAAGUGACGCUUCAUAUCUUUAACACUGCUAGUCCUGUUCAAGAGUUCAUUACACAUGAAAUCAUUAUUUCUACUAGAUAUGGGUGGACUAUUGAUAGAUCAUGUGAUGUUGCUAUCCGUCAUAAAGUGAAUAAACUUGUGAAAAUAAUGCUUCUUCUCAUAAUUCUAGCAUGAUUCAUGUAGAUAACAUUGCUCAAACUUGUAAUAGAUCAUCGGUUUCUUUGGAAUAAAUAGAUGGUUCAACUCCCAUAUUCUGAAGUUCAGCUCUAUUUACUGUUCCGGUAUCAUGAAGACCAAGAUUAUUAGAAAAAUUAGAAUGUGGCAGGAGACAAAAACCUGCAUGCUGGAAAGUCGAAAUAGAGUAUCAGUUGAACAAAUUCUCAUUGGCGUAGCUAAAAAGUCCCACGAUUGGAAUCACAAAUGAGCAGAAGCGUAAAUCACACAGUGACAGGAAAAAUGGUGUGAAUCUUGUUAGGAUCAAACUCGACACAAGCAGUCGAUCAAGAACUUGAAAUGACUAUGAAACUAUGAACUCACUCUUGCAGCCCUGCAGCAUGUCAAAUUCACACGUGAUGAUCAGCUCGAAAGAACCUGACGAAUUUAGGGAAUCCAGAGCGCCACAAGUCCAGAAUGACCGUCUUCCUUUGGCCUAUGUGUUUUUGUACUUUGCCUCCAGAAGCUUCCUUAAUAAUUGACAUGUCAAUCAUUAAAUUACUUCGAGCAAUCAUACGAGAACAAACAAAAGAUAAAACUACAGUUGCAAUAUCCCAGAACAAUAAAAACCCCAAUUCAAGCAAUCAGAAAAAGUAAGCAAAUUCAGCUUGUUCAAGCAUAGGUUUCUGCCAUCAUUUUCAUCAAAACCUCCGCACGACCACCGUAAACCACCACCUCCAUUAGUCAAUACUACCAAUACACUCCAUCUUCGACCAUCAACUAUGACAUCCUGAUUUUCAGGUUUUGUUUUCGAUUGGAUAAGUUAGGCUUUUCAUCGACGCGCCUAUAGCCAUUUUCUCUGAGUUGGCCACUCACGAGAUAAUUAGCCUAUCGGGUGAAGCCGUUAAAUGAUUUUCACAUAAUAGACUUGAGAAUUCGACUAGGAAUCGAUUGCUCGACUGUGCUAGUCAGCAAUGGUCAUAAUAGCAUUGUCAAAAUCGAUCAGAGAUCAGAGAUAGAUCAAUUUAACUGAGAUAUGUGAUAAAAGUGUGGGUUAUUCCACCCGAUUGCAAAAUUCUCAUCAAUCAGCAUUAGACCGAUUUUUCUGUCGUUUUGGGUAUCAUGUACCCGUAUUCGAAACCUGGAAAUUUUCACGACAAUCGAAAGUCGCCAAUGUGUCGAAGAUGUACAUUGUGACUCGAAAUAAAUCGAUCAUGGGUCAAUUGCGCGAAAAAUUCCUAAAAGCUACCCAGUAAGCUAGGUCAUGCUAAAAUCGCGUCAGAUUGAAAUUAAUUGCAAAAUUGGAUCCGAUUUCAGAAAUUUAAAGUUAUGUCAUGUCACAACUUAUUAUAAGACCGUCGACUCAUCCUUCAAAGAUUUUUCUGCAAACCGAGAUUUUUGGCGAAAUUUCAAUUUAGGGCUAUUUUUAUUUGGAAAAUUUAUAGGACUGUUUUUUAUUGCCCUUUGGGAUGCAAGUUAGUUCUAUUGGUGGGGAAAAAUGUUAAAUUGGUCAAUGACAUUAUAGUGGAAUUUAUGGGGAUUGAAUUGAAUACAAUUGAAGGAGAUUUGGUUCAAUUUGGGAGAAUUUGUGCCCAAAUUCGUAGGCCAUGGUCCCCCUCAACUUUUGAACCACUUGGAGAGUGUUCUAGAGAGAUUUUGGUGCACCAAUUUGGCUAAGGAUUGAGCUGAAACAUGUGGGACCUCUUCAAGGGGACAAAAGGAUAGAAUGGAAGUUUGGAGGGACCCUUUACAAGGGUAGCCGGCUUCUUCUUCUUCUUCAGCUCAGCCUACUUUCUCCAUUUUCUUUGUGUUUAAACCUCCAAAGUUGCAAAGGAAGCCGAGCCAAGCCCUCUACUGUCACAAGCCACCGUCGAGCCCCCUACCGCCACCGCUCUUUGUUGCCCGCCUGUCGCGUCGCACCUCUGCACGAGCCAUGCCUAUUAUGCUCGUCAUUCCGCCCAAUUGCGACCCUAGAUCUUUCCCUGAGCCCGUUCAAGCCCCCUCCACCAUCGCCGAAGCCGCAUGACCACCCGUCCAGCCGCCGGAAGCCCCACUCACCCACCUAGCAGCCACCUUGGUCGUUUCUAGCUCAGCCCAUCGCCUAGCUCACCCCCUCAACCCAACAAUAGAACUGAAGCCCUCAGCCAGUCGUGGUCCUUUGAGGGCCACUUUGGACCACUUCCGAGCCUCGUAAGGUGUCACUGCUAUAAAGUUUGUCGCCUGUCUCCGUGUUGCUGUUGUCGUGGACUCACCGAGUCGCAAAACUAGUGAGUUUACUCACUAAACUCUGCUUAUGGAGUUAAUUAUGCUUAAGGGUUGAUUAUUUUAGGCUAGUAUGGCUUAGGUGAUUAGUUAGAACGGAUUAGCAAUUUAAUUACUCGUCAUUGCAUGUUAGGUGGUUAGAUCAGCUUAAUUAGCAAUUAGAUAGGUUGAAUUAUUUAUCUAGAUAGGUUUGGAAAUUUUCCGAGCCCGUUUUGGUAUUUAAUUAGGCUUUUCUAGCCUAAGUCUCUAUUAAUGGUAUUUAUUUGUAUUUAUUUAAUUAAUUUUGGUAUUUAUUUAAUUAUUUAUUAUUUUUCGAAAAUUAUACCAGGAUAGCUGGUGAUUGGAAUUUCGUGCUGAUUGCAAUGGUAUGCUUGGUUUAUUUAAUUGAAUGCUAGAUUGUGCAAAUUGAGUGAAAAUUAUAAUUUUGGAUAUUUAUUCCAAAAUUGAGUAAUUUCGGUAUUUAAUUGGAAAAUACCAGGCGUCGGUUUACAGUGCCGAAAAUGUGUUUAUGGACUAUUAUAAUUAAUGGGAAUUCCUAAAAGAAAGAUAUUGAGAUUUUGGAUCGGGCCAACCAUGUACCCACACGCGAGUAUUUUAUUGGGUAUUUUCAAUGUGAUCAUUUUAUCAGCUUGAGUGAGCACAACUGAUAUAUAUAUCCAUUAUGAUCGUCUUAUCAGCUUGAGCGAGUAUGAUCAAUAUAUCUUUAUCAACUUGAGUGAGCACGAUCUAUAUUAUUUAUUAGUUUGAGGGAGCUAUCUCUCUAUAUAUCAGCUUGAGCGAGCUAAGACCAUAUAUUACAACUGUUGUGGGUAGUGGUGGUAUCAGAGGAUUGUUAUAUGGCAUUGAUUUGAUAGAUAGUACUAUUGGGUUGGAUUUGAGCUUAUUGACUAGUUGAUCGAUGGUUCGAUUUGAAUUGAGUGGAUUGGUUGAGUUCAUGAGCUAUACUAACCUGCAAGAAGGAACUAAGGCAAAGGUAUGUACUCUAUCUUGUGUGUGCAUAGGUAGCCUUUAGGCAUAUUUCCUUACUAGUUGGAGUUUAGGGGGUGAACUUGCUGAGACAUUGUAUUACCCCGUCGUGGGUUUAACUUUUCAGGUCCUUAGAUGGCGAAUCCCCCUAAGCGUUAUGGUCAGCCGAUGAGAGUCACUGGGCAAGUUUAUAAUUAUCCCGAUCCUGGAAGUUUUUGGGUCUAUGAGUUUGUAGUGACCAUUGUCUGGGUUGAAGAGCAUCCACAUCAUGUGUUCCCUCAUCGAUUCAGAGCUUGGUUUUGUUAUGGACCCAAUGGUUUUCAGCUAGGUCCCCUCCGGUGCUUUGAGAUCCCCGCUGGGAUAAUCGAUGACACUCUAGGGGAGAGUGCAGUUGACCCUCCAGAUGGUGUGGUAGAGGACCCGAUGCACCCGGUGCCCGUGGAGACUGAAGAAUCGGCGAAUGAGUCAAACUAGUUGGUUAUAAGACAGCUUUGUUUUGAGGACUAACCUUUUGUUGACUUGUGAAUAUAGAUUAGUAUUGUAUAUGACAUAGUUUGCUGUGCAUAAGGGCGUGUUGUGGUUUUCAAAAUUUUAGCUCUGCUUUUCUAUCCCAUCCUUGUGUUGUAUGAGGAUUUAUUUAAUCGCUUCCGCAUGCGCAUUAAAAGGAAUGGGUUGGCGAUGCGGCCUGGGACAUUGCAAUUUAAUCGACCACCAAGGGAUGGGCACACACUCGAGGAUCGAGGCGUGACACCAACAGUCUGCUAUCACAUGCACAUGACACUACACAUAGGCUUAUGCCACAAGGCGGACCAUGCCUCCUAAGACAAGUUCACAUUCCGAAUGCACUGAGAGCAACUAUUGGAGUAGAAUCCCCAGUCACUAGCUAGAGCACGAAACUACAACGGCACAGCCACCAAACUAAUUUUAAAAAUCACCACGCCAAAUACGACCCAGUGCAAAAGAAAACAUGUCCGCUGCUGCCGCUGCUCGAGAGCCGUCUCAUUUCAUCCAAACCCUUCCACUAGACGGAUGAUGACGAUAGCUAUUACCCUAACAACACGCGAGGGCGUACACAAAGAGAGAAAGCAAAUACAAACCAAAACACUCAAUCAAGAAGAGAAUAAAGCUAAAUGGUAGAGGCCUACCUUCAGCUAGGGUUUUUCCAAGCUCGGCGAGAGAGAGAGAGAGAGAGAAAGAGAGGGUCUCAUUCUUCGCUUGAUUUUGCAAUGGUCGGGUUUGUUGCCUCAUCAAUUUGGUACCUGAUGAAAUGAUAAUAUUCCCACCAGGAUCUAGUGACUUCUCUAAGCCCAAAGGACUUCUCGCGAAUCAAUUCGGAUAAUCGCUUCUCCAAAUCCCUCCAUUCAACAUUCGACAAAGAACUACAUUUAAUAGAAAGCAUCGAUAGUUGGACGGGAAGCUCUGAGAGACAUUCAAGAGGACGGAGAUCGAAAAGAGAGAGUUCCCGGAGAACGGUUAGUUUGGAAAGAUAUGGCAAUGAAGGACUUGGGAAAUCGACAUGCAAAGCUGUUAAGCUCAAGGGUGGUUCUGGUAUUUCUCGAAGGUUUUCGCAACACCGAACGCUGAGAUGUUGGAGAGAAGAGAGCUCCGAAAUGCUCUUUGGCAAGCCCCAAAUGCCUGUACUGUCUAAAUGAAGUUGAUUUAGCGAAACCAGCUCGCCUAUACUACUAGGUAGCCUUCUAGAUUUUUGCAGUCCGAUGCACUCAACACUUGGAGUUUUGUCGGCAUUCCAAUGGCACUAGGCAAUUCUGUGACAAAAGAUUUGUUAAGGUACAAGCUCCUCAAAUUUUGCAAAUUUCCAAUACUUUCUGGUAAUUUUGUAAUCGGUAUCCAUGAUAAAUUCAGCUCAAUCAACAAUGUCAACUUUCCAAUCGAGUUGGGGAUCUCUCUCAAUGAAUGGCAACCAAAUAGGUCAAGGAAAUACAAAGAUGCUAGAUUGCCUAUAGAGUUGGGUAUGCAAUCUAAUAAUCCAUAGCAAGUGACAUUAAGAGUCUCUAGCACCUUCAUAGAACCAAUGGAUUGAGGUAAUUCUUUAAUCAUUGUAUACGAUAAGUCCAGCUUAGUUAAUGACUCAGAAGAACUCAUGAAUUCAGGAAGCUGAGCAAGUUUAUCAUAACAUAGAAGCUCUCUCGAUUCUUCCAUUCCCCCUACUCUUGUUGGUAGCUUCUCUACUUUAAAACAAUUAUGGAUGUCCAAGGAGACAAGGGUCUUGAUAUACCAUAUAGAAGGAUGAAUUUCUUCUAGAUUCCGACAAUUUUCAAGAUUCAAGAUCUCUAAGCUUUUUAAAGCAGACAAAUUGGGAGUUUCUUUCAAAUUUUGACAAUACGAGAGGUCGAGAACUUUCAACUCAGUUGCCAUCUAAAAGAAAUAAAUGAAAUUUCAAUGAAAGUGGACAAUAGCAAUCUGUGAUUUUACACUAUUCUUCUUUUUUCAAAAGAAUCUUUAAAAUUCCUUUUAAAAAAAAUACCCAUACUCCACUACUCUUUCAUAGUUGUCUUAUUUAAUUUCAAAUGUUUUUUUUUCAAUAUUGUCGGGCUAUGCCACCAUAUUGAUUUUUUUAAGCAUAUCCAUUACAAAAAGAAUGUUAGGGACAUACAAGUGCCAAUCAUGUUUAUUUUCGGAUAAAAUUUCAAAAAGAAAAUAUAUUCAGUUUUUAAGAACUAUGGCGAUGUUAUUGAUUAGAUUUGUGCAAAUUUUAUUGUCAAAGAGACUCUCCAAUAGUAAGAAAUGGGUAGCUUAAUUAUAAAAAGCAAUUUCUUAAAGUGACUUCAAAGAAAAAUUUAAAGAAUGCUGUAUUUCAAAAAAAAUUAAUGCCAUCCGAAUGAUAGUUUUAUUACUCUCAUAACAUUAACAAUUUAUAUUUGUGUCAUACAGUGACUUCCAUAAUCAACAAUUAUAAUGAAUAAAUAAUUCAUGCAACAAGUCAAAGCACUUCAUAAAUCAUAUCCCCUACUCUGAGAUUAUAAUAACUUCCCGAAUUUUAGUAUUUAUGUACAGCACAAUUCACUAUGCAGGAGUUUUUUUUUUUCCUCCAUGAAAGAAGAUUGAUAUAGAGAAAUAACAAGAGUCCCUCAAAAGACGUACUUUUGUGUGGGAGAAAUUAACUUAGCCAUAAACCAUCUAGAUUAAAGUAAAUCAGAAUAGGUACAAAUAUGCAAUUGUAUUUUCAAUAAAUGUUAAUUAAUAUAGUUACUUUUUUUUUUUUUAGUAUUGUCUAAGGUUAAGCAUGACAGGUUGUUGAGUUUUAUCAAUUAAAAAUAAUUAAGGGGCAAAAGCCUAUGAAUAUUUAGGUAGCUAUAAAUUACUCUUAUAUUUAAAUGAAAAUCCUUAAUCCAUGGAACGUUAGCAAACGUUUCUAGGAGAAAUUGGUGUGAUUGGACCUUCGUUAAAAUGUUAUUAUUCUCAAGAGACAAAUCUUCUCAAUAUCUUACCUUGAGUGGAUCCCAUCCUCCCCAAUCCUCUGAAAUAGCACUCUGUGAUAGAUUAAGCACGGCUAAUUUCUUCGGAUUAAAGUUGACCAUUUGGAAAUAUGAGGGACAACAAUUCCAUUGAAGCCAUCUUAAUUGAGGAAGCAAGUUUUGGAAAUCUUUGAUAAAAUUUACAUUGCACACUCGAAGGAACCUCAACUUAGUGAGUUCAUUAAAUUGUUCACCUUGGUAGUUUUUCCCACAAACGUAACUGUUAAGAAAAAAAUUCCCAAUCUCACCAAGCCCAAGACAAAGGGCCUCAAUUUUACUAGUGCCCUGCAAUUACGAAACAUAGUGGAUGGAUCAUACCACAUAACAUGUUUCAUUUAGUUGUACACAUAUAUUAAGUUUUAGCUACACAAAUAUAUUUUAUAGGAAUGGAAACGAUUGAGGGAUUUAUCAUUUAUUAUGUGCAACGGGGUCAUUUCUGACAAAUAAGAAUAUUGGUUGAAUAAUAAUAUCAAAAUAUGAAUAAAUAAUAUUGAAAGACCAAUAAAAAAUAUCCAUCAUCAUAGAAAUAUUAUAUAACAUGCUUUAGAAAUAAAUUAAUAUUAAAAAAAACCGUCAUAGAUGAAAAAAAAGUCUUUGUUUAGAAGAACGUAUUACAUGACUACAUACUAUCAUAAUUGAAAAUUUUUAUGGAUACCCAUUGUGACUAAUAGAUAUCCACUACAGAGAACUAUUUAACAUGCUUUAUAAGUAAAUGAAUCUAAUAAAAUUGUCCAUCAUAGAAAGAAAAAAAUAUAUAUAUGUUUAGAAGGUUCUAUCACAUGACUACAUUUAUUUCAAUGGUGAGUAUAACGAAAUGUGUAAUAAGUGACGGCUGUUAUCAUAGAAAAGUUGUAUGAAUAUUAUUUAUAAGGAAAAAAAAUCGUAUUUCAUAAGUGAAUGAUGUAAAAUAAAUCGGUAAAAAAUUAUAAGACAUGAUAGCUCAUAUUUGACAAGUAAAUGAUAUAAUAUUACUGAAUGUGUACUAAAUAAAAUGCUCACUAAGAGUUGAACGUUGCAGAGAUAUCUAUUAUAACGCGGUAGUCAAAAUUUGACAAAGAAAUGUUAUCAGGACAUUCAUUUAAAAAUUACCCAUCAUCACAAAAAAGUAUGAAUAAAAACAGUAGCAAAUUCAUAGAAAGAAUUAUCUAUACAAUGAAAUGUCUACAGAAAAAAAAUAACAUAUGUUUAGAGUGUUAUUACACAGUUGCGAAUAUAUCAUAAAUAAAUAUGAGAGCCACGUUAGUAAAUUGAUGGUAUCAACUGGCGGUUGACAAUAAAAGACUUGAUUAUGCAAACUGUGUAAGAUGAAAAAGAAAAAGAGAGAAAACUACAUUGAGCAUAAAAGAAGGGAUAGGGGACUAAAUUGCCACAGAUAAUGAUGCAUAGGAGACUAAAUUCGUACUUAACCCAUCUUGGAAAAUUUAUGAACCAGGAUGUUUAAUCAUCACAAAUGGAUGGAGGCCUCGUUUAUCAUAAAAAAACAACUCAUAAGAAGUCGAAACUCAAUAAAAGAAAAAAGAAAAUAAGACCUCACAAGAAAUUGAAAGAAGAAUCCAAACAUCAAACGCGUGCAUCAAACAGACAUGUGAAAAAAGCAUGGCCCCCAACAAGUUAUUGAUGUCAAGUUUUCUCUGAAAGUGCCCUGUCAAAGAUUAUGUUUUUUAAUAGUUUUGUUGUUGCAUUGAAGUUACUAAAAGAAGAGUGUUCUCAUUACAUACUACCAGGUAAAGAUAUAUCAAUCAUCAAUAAUCAAGAAAUUGCUCCUCAAUUUUGUCCAGGUAAAAAGAGCAAUUAAUUGAAACAGCUCUUAACCUGGUAAAAGUGAAAAAAUUUGGAGACGAACAAGAAUAUUAUCUCAAACAAGAAAGAGAAGAAGGGCUCACAUUUACUGACUAAGAUGACUAGAGAGAGAUCUUACCUUGUUGUUGUCAAGAACAUCUAGGGCUUCCUCACGAAUCCAUAAUCUGCUGCGCUCUUGAGGCUCUUUUGGAUGUUCUAGACAAACAAUUUCUCUUCCAAGAUCUCUUAGUUGAUCAUGCUUCAUUAUAUUGCCAUUUUAUCAAUUUUAAUUAGGGACAUAAGGCUCAAUACUUCAAUUCCAUUCUCCGGGAAAAACCACAUGCAUCCCAUAAAUAAGUUACACUUUGUUUAGAUAAUCCAAUGCAAAAACAUGCUAUGUCCAAAAAUAUUUGCUUCGUCUCAUAGUCUAAUGAUUCAUAACUUAUCCUCAAUGUAUCUUGCACUUUCUUAUCAGGCACUUUCUUUAAUUUCUUCAAUGUAUCUUCCCAAAUUUUAAUUUGUUUUCCACGUAAGAAAGAACCUAUAACUUCAAGAGCUAAAGGAAGCCCUCCAGUAGUAGACACGAUAUCAUGAGAGACAACCUCAUAAUCACUAUGAGGAGCAUCCUGUCGAAAUGCAUGUCUAUUCAAUAAAAUCAAUGAUGGAUCCAAAGGCAACUUGUUGAGUUCGUACAUGUAGGUUGCCCUAGCCUCAUCAAGAAUACUCUUGUUUCUAGUGGUUAUGAUGACUAUACUUCCAGCUUUAAACCAAUUACCAUCUCCAGCCAAAGCAUUCAAGUGAGCCUUAUCAUCCAUAUCAUCAAGAAGAAUUAGGGUUUUCUUUCUUGUAAAUCGAGAUUUGAUGACAUCGAUUCCCUCAUCGACAUUAGACACCUCAUAUGACCUUCUUAGUAUAUCGCGAAUGAGUUGAUUUUGUGGCCAUUCAAUACCCUUGCGUAGAGAUGUUUCUCAAAUAUUUGCCACGAAACUAAGAUGUUCGAAAUGAUUGGAGAGAUUAUUGUACAAGACCCUUGCAAGAGUUGUCUUACCAAUGCCCCCCAUUCCAUAAAUUCCAAUGAUCCUUGUUUCAUUAAAUUUAGCAUCUAUGAAGCUCAUAAUUUCUUCUAUGGGACCAUCAAUUCCGACCAACUCUUUGGGAACAAUUAGUUGCAAAGGUCUUUUUAACUCACUUAAGACUUUUUCGACAACAAUUUCAACCAAUGCUCCUUCAUGCCUGUCAAGCAACACCGAAUUUUAGUAUAGGAUGGCAAUAUUUAUAUUAUUUUUCAGGUAAAAGUCUGAAUUUUAGUAUAGGAUGGCAAUAUUUAUAUUAUUUUUCAAGUAAAAGUCUAGUUAUGAGAAACUAAAUAAUGUUUUGGUGGAGAUACGUACCCAUCAUCAAUUUUCUCCGAUUCCCAUCCUUUUAAAGAACUGACUUCUUUGAGCGCUUCUUCCCAUUCCUUCACAACCAUUUCAUCCGAAUUCUCUUUAUGUGCAUUGAUGGCAUCUCCAAAUCCCUCUAUUAGAUGUCGCACUUGUGAGGGUUCCACUUUGUAAAAUAUGGGCAACACUACUUGCCCUCUGCUUCUCUUGCACUUCAAAAUCUGAACCAGCUCACGAAGGCACCAUUUGCUAGAAGCGUAGUCCUUAGAUAUAAUUGGGAUCGAGAUCUUAGACUACAUAAUACUGUAGAGAAGCUCCAAACCAAUCUCCUCACCAACAUGGAGCUCAUCAUCAUCUCCGAACACUCGAAUUCCUGCAUUAACAAAGCUAGUAUAGAGAUAAUCAAUGAAGCCUUUACGAGUGUCUUUCCCUCUAAAGCUCAAGAACACUUCAUGUCAUCUCCUUUCGGCUUUUUGGUUGUGCCUUCAUAAUCACCUAUAUGUGGAGAGGUAGAUGAGGAAGAUGCCCCAUAUAUCGGAUCGUCUGAAUAAGUAGGUUCUCUUCGUUUCAUCUCGAGAGGAUUGUACAUAUACAAAGGCAGUAGAAGAGAUUCACGAAGCAGAGCCUCAAAACAGGAGGAAUACGGAAUCCCAAAUAUAAGAAUUGCAGAAAUGUCUCUCGGAAUUCAUUCUGGAGCUACAUUCAAACAAAAACAAAGACUCUCAUACAACUCAUCAGAAUAAAUGGACAAUCGAAGCAGGAAAGAGAGAAAAGGAGAAGAGCAAGGAGUCACUGAUUACCUGCGGAGUGCUCACUGAUUCUCGGCCUUCGACGUUGGAUUUCUAGCACGGAACGCUCUUUAUCGUGCGCGCUUGAACGAAGCUGAGUUCUGGCCAACAAACGAUUGGAGACUCUUCAUGCUAAUUGAAACGUUGCGAUGCAUGCUGCACGGAAAGGUCAAUUAUUGCAGGAGUAACUUCCGCAGCACUAUCCGGAAGGUACGUCAUAAGAGGUGACUCGACUUGCUUUUUCUAUUAUAAACUAGAUUUUUCCAUGCCACAUCAUGCCUAAAGAUUAUCUAGCCAUCAUUCCCUCACCCAGGGCACUAUUAUUUUUGUCCUUAAAUUAAUGAUUUUUUACGUGUUAUAUUAAUUUUUUUUUUCAGUGUUACAUUCAGAAAUUCUUGGCCAACGAAUUCUCCAAAUAUUUAUUCAGUAAUACAUUUUUACUUUUUUAUUUCAUUUUUUGUCGAACAUUUUAUUUCAUGUUGGCAUUCUUCUUUUUCUUAGCUUUUUACCUAGGAUAUCAUUAACCAACUAUAUUACAGUAUCAUGACUUUGACCAAUAGUAUUGUUGUCAUCUCUACCCAUUCUCAGCCUUACACGUUUAAUUUCGGACGCACAAGGCUCUCCACUAGUCAAAAAGAGAGCGAUUUCUGCAGCAUUAUGCGGAGAUGCGUGGAUCCCAUUCAUGUCUUUUUUAUUUGACUUGUUUUUUUCUAUUUAAAAAGAAAAAAAAGAAAACUCAUCAACAAUACUCACAUGCUCCUGGUGUUAAUUUAUCGGUUUAUAUAGGAUUUUAUGAACAAAUGUCGGCACUUUGUUGACAUUCUGGAGUUAACUAAUGCCUAUUCCUUCAAUUGCGGUACAAUGUUGGCAAAUUGAUGAAGUUGUUGUCUUAUUUCGUGGUUGCGAAGGGGUGACACCGGCUUAAUUUUUUUGCCCCUUUCUCUGAUUAGUUGAUGUGGGUUAAGUGGAAACAGCUGCUGUCGAUUUGUUUUAGCAAUGUCUCAAGAAAGAGAUAGUGGCAAUUUUUAGCAGGAAAACAUUAACAAUAGUAUCUUACACCCUCUUUUUAGCAUCUAGUCGUUUUCGUGAUCAAAUUGCAUGAUAUUUGUGUCUAUAGAAAGAUAUAUGUACAUGUAUCAUAGUUUAAUAAAUAUUUGGACCAUUGCUGUGAGAAACCUUUCCAAUCGGUAAAAAUUUUCAAUGACUUUCUUCGAAAGUUACACCAACCUCAUUAUUAAAGUAAUGCUAUGCCACUUUCAUAGGAAACCCCCCGUCCCCUCCAAAAAGAAAAAGUCCACCCCCAAAAAAAGUAAGGCUAUGCCACUUUCAUAGGAAGCCCCCUUCCUUCUAACCACACACACAAGUGAAAGAUUCACAAGUGCUUUUUGAGCGUGGGUUAGAAAGAUCCAAUUAUGUGAAUCUCAUAAGAUCCCCAUAUUUUUUUAACAGUUGAGAUAAACUAACAUUAUUGUUUUACCGCAAAAUCAACAACACUAGCCUACAACCAAAGUCAUGCAUUUGAUUACUCUUCUUCUCUAUCUUGUGAGAAUUGCCUUGUACAUGAACAGAAACUCAGAAUAAAAGAAAGGGAAAAAAAGAAAGAAGGAUCGGGCCUUUGCUGGUCCAAUGCUAUUUGUGCAUAACAAUUUUGCCAUGUCUAUUUGUGCAUAACAAUUUUGCCAUGUCCCUUGUAGCCAUUCAAUGCAAAUAUAGUAAUGUCAUUUGUUCAUUUAACUUGCAUUGAGCUGUGCAAUCAAAACUUUGUCAGUGUGAAGCAUCAAAUUGAGGAUGUUAAAAUUGUCCUGUUCAAGGCUGCUAUAUCGUAGCAAAGGCUGGGAGACAAGGAAAAAUUUUAGGGUACACCCAUUAUAAUGUACAACAUUACGACGCAUCAAAGUAAUUAAGUACAAGAACAUCAUAAUAGCAUAGUAAAAUUGUUCAAUGAUAUAUUAUCGUCAUCAAGUGCAAAAGUGGUGUGAAAUAGAAGUGUGCUGCUAAAGAUUUUCAAAAGAUGAAUGGAAUCAACACUGAUGUAAGUUUCGCAAGAAAUAGAUGAGCUAAGGAAGACGCUGGACACGUGGUAUCCGUUACUUAGUGAAUUGCUUUUCUUUACUCACCCACUUUGAUGACCAAAAAUUAGCCUUGAUCCUGCUUUUUUAUCAAUAGGAAAAGUAAUAAUAAUAAUAAAGUGAGAGCAUUUCACUUCUUGUGGACCUCCAAUUUAUUGUGUUCUUGGUUGGGUUGGAAAUUGGAAUCUAAAAGAAAAUCAAAUAUAUUUGUACAUCUCUCUAAUGAAACAAAAAAUUGCUCCUUUUGACCUAAACAAUCAAAUAAUAAAUGAAAGAUAAAUGUUUUCUCAGAUAAAACGGAAUGUGACGCGAAAGUUAAAUGUAUUCUGAGUCUCUUGCUAAUUAUGUUUACAAAAAUUGAAUGUUUAUUUUAGAAACUAGAGUCAAAUGUUCAACUCUCAUGAAAACUGUUAGAGAUAUUUAUCUUAGGAUAUUAGAGAUAUUUAUCUUCCUGAUUGAUUAUAAUUAAUUUCUUAUCAAUUAUAAUUGAUUUGAUUUUGAUCUUGUAAUAUUUUAUUACCUCAUAUAGUUGUCUAAGACAGUCUAUAAAUAGGCUCUUGUAUCAUUAGUAUUACACGUACUGAAAUAUACAAAAAUUCAUUUUUCCACUCUAUUCUAUCAUGGCAUCAGAGAGAGGUUUUGUUUGAGAAAGUGGUCGCCAUUGUUGCAGCACCUUGAAAAAUCAUCAUCUAUUAUGGAGAGAAGCCGCACGCGCCACCACGCUCCGCUGCGCUACAGGACUAUUGACGACUACCAAUGACCACCGACGCCGUCGACUGUAGGUGGAAGUUUCAAAGACAAUCCUUAGAAUUUCUGACCAAAAACCACCAUAGACAAGUUCUAUAUUCUCCGGCGAGUCCAGAACAGCAAUGACCAUUGCUGGAAAAUGAACCACACACCCUCACGCGUCGCCCAAACCCUCUACGCGUGAGAUCCAUGUGUCAUGUCGCUGGAAAGUCAACCAAGCGCCCUCACCCACCAGUUAAACCCUCUACGCAUGAGAUACACGCGCCACAACUUUGCACGUGACCUAUGUGUGCAUUAGUGACGUCAUUGAUGGCGUCAUCCUCGCACGUGCUCCAUCCGUGCUCAAGCAAUAACAUCAUUGCCACGUCAUCGUUGUCGCUGACAGCCGUUGACUGACGUUGACCCGAUCAGUUCGUAGUGUUUUUUGACCGGUUUGACUUAAUUUAGACCGAUUCUCGGUGUUUUCCAACCGGUUUAGCGAAAUUCCAUUCGAUUAGCUCCUUUUUCUGACCGGUUCGUCCAGUUUCCGAUCGGUUCAUUUGAUUUUCCAACCGGUUCAGCCAGGUUCCAACUGGUUCUCAGGGUUUUUCGACCAGUUUAGCCAUUUUCCGACCAGUUCUUAGGGUUUUCCUACUGGUUCAGCCAUUUUCCAACCGGUUCUUGGGGUUUUCUGGCUGGUUCGGCUUGAUUCUGAUUGGUUCUUGGCAUUUCCAGAUCGGUUCUUGAGGUAUUCCGAUGUUCUCAGUCUAUUUUUCAGCCUUAUUUUCUUCAUAUCAGCUCCACAAGUAUCAGUUUUUUUCUCAAAUUCAUUAAAGAAUCUAUUGAGUUUACUAGUAUAUCGCCUAUCAUGGACAAGUUAGAAGUCUCAAAGCCCAUUCAGACCAUCUUAAAUGGAUCAAAUUAUAUUUUAUGGGCUCAAGAAAUGUCCAAUUUUCUAAGGGGACAUGAGCUUUGGCGUUAUGUAACUGGAGGUCUUCGCAAGCCUAGUCAGGCUUGCGCUCGCGAAGAGGAUAACGAUACAUUUGCUGAACGAUUGGAGGAGUGGGAGAGCAAGAAUCACUAUGGUUUCAAAAUACUUCCAUUCCAUCUAUCAAACUUCAGUUCGGUCAUCUAAAUAUAGCAAAGGAAACCUGGGAUCUUUUUGCUAGUCAUUAUUCCACAUCAGAUAUUACUCAUCAAUAUCAACUGUUAGGGAACUUACAUCACAUGCGUCAGGAGACAAGUCAGUCUAUUGAUGACUUUUUUUCUUCAAUGCAUGUUAUAUGGGACUAGCUCGCUUUAUCUAAACCCACAUGGGAUUCGUUUGUUGAUGCUCAUAAGUUUGCUGAAUAUCGUGAUUGUAUGCAAGUUAUGCAAUUUCUGAUGGCUCUAAAUGAUGAGUAUGAACCUGUGUGAGCCUUACUUCUGCAUCGGGAUCCUUUACAUCAUCUUGAGGUAGUUAUUUCAGAGCUAUUAGUUGAGGAAACUCACCUUGCGACUUUCAAUGCACAACAUGCUACUCCACUGUUUUCCACUCCUACAAAUGCAGUGCUUGCCACUAUUGGCUCAUCCUCAUGGCGCAAAUCUUAUUGUAUGCACUAUCGUCGACUUGGUCAUCAUGCAUCAAACCAUUAUCAAUUACAAUCCAAUCAACCUAUAGGAACAAACAACAUAUCCCGUUUUAGAGGUUUGGUUGGACGCGGCUCAUCCACUGCUGCUUCUGUCAUAGAGGAUUCCUCUAGUAGUUCGUCUAUCAUGCUAUCUUUAGAUGAUCUUUGAUCCACGGUUUGGUCCAUUCUUCAAGAAACUAGUACUUCUAGUCCUUUUGUUAUGUUGGUCACUCCAGGUACUCCUGAUUCAUGGUUCUUUGUUUCUACGUGUCGUAAUCACAUGACUUCCCAUUCCAAUUUAUUUAAGUCAAAAUCAUAUAAUUCACAAAGACCUACUAUUCACACAGUUGAUAACUCUCAAAUCAUAGUUAGUCAUACAGGGAACGUUUCAAUGCCCACCUUGUCCUUACCCGAUACUUUUAUGGUUCCCAAACUCUCUUUAAACUUAGUAUAUGUGGGUUAGUUAUGUAAGCUUGGUUUUGACAUUCAUUUCUCUUCGAAUGGUUGUCAUGUGCCGGAUCCAUAAACGGGACAAACAAUUGGGACAGGCUCAUAAAGUGGGACGGUUGUUUGAGCUUGUUUCAUUAAAGCUUCCUAACUCCUACACUAGUUGUGCUACCACAGUUUCAUCUUAAACUUGGUAUUCUCGUUUAGGUCAUCAUUCUUUUUCUCGUUUAAGUCAUUUGCUCUCAAGUGGUCAACUAGGUUCCAUUGACAAUAAAAACCUUUGAUUGUCUACCUUGUAAGUUAGGAAAACAUCAUGCUUUAUCGUUCAAUAUUAGUGAAUCUAUCUCUUAUGCUCCCUUUGAUCUAAUUCAUUCGGAUAUUUGGGAACCAUCUCCUACUCCCACUAUGGAAGACUCUCGUUAUUUUGUGAUUUUUGUUGAUGAUUAUUCACGUUAUACAUGGCUUUAUCUCAUGAAAAAUCUAUCUGAAUGUACCCAUAUCUAUGGUAAUUUUGUUGCAAUGAUCAAAACACAAUUUUCUCGAGAUAUCAAGGUCUUUCGUACCGAUAAUGCCAUGGAAUAUAAGGACAGAGAGUUUCUUAAAAUUCUUUCUCAUAACGGUACUAUUAUUCAUCGUUCUUGUCCAGGAACUUCCCAACAAAAUAGUCGAGCAGAGCAUAAACACAGGCAUAUUUUAGAUAUUGUACGCACUCUUCUAAUCUCAGCAUCUUGUCCAGAACAAUUUUAGGGGGAGGCCUGUCUUAUUGCUGUCUACACUAUUAAUCGUAUUCUAUCACCUACUAUAGGUAACAUUUCUUCAUACGAGCACUUAUAUGAUAGUAUUCCUAAUUAUAGUCUACUUCGAGUUUUUGGUAGUGCAUGUUUUGUGCAUCUUCUUCCAAAUGAGCGCAUGAAGUUAGAACCUCAUGCUCGUUUCUGUUGUUUCCUUGGAUAUGGCAUUGAGCAUAAAAGGGUAUUUAUGUUGGGACCCUAUCUCCAAUCGACUUCGUGUGUCUCAUCAUUUUACCUUAUGGGAACAUAAAAUGUUCUCAUCUUUACAUUUUUUUGCAUCUUCUCUCAUUGUUCCAAAUGUUCGUUUCUUCACAAAUCCUUCUGUCGAAUUGUUCCUUGAUGAUGACACUCCUACAUCUUCCUCUUUAGAAUUGCCCUCUCCAAAUCUUGAUGCAGGUAUCUCUAGAAAUCCCACUUCAGCAACUCCUGAUAUAUCGGUGCCAUUCGUGGAUCCACCUUUGGAAGUUCCUUCUUCUUCUGUUCGUUGCUCCACCCAUGUAAGUCAACCUUAUGUUCGGCUUCGUGAUUUUCACUAUUAUUCCACAAUUGCCUCUUUUCACAAGCCUCGCACUAUAGAGAAGCUUGUACUAAUCCUCUUCUCUUCAACCGCCGGAUUGUUCCAGACCCAUUCUGCCCAAUAUGCUGCCAAUAUGUUCCUGAAACAAGAGAACAUUUGCUUAUCCAGUGUCCAUGGACGAAAACUACAUGGUCACACUCACAGCUUGAUUUAGCUUCCUCUACAACCUCAGUUUCCAGUAUUACACGGUGGCUAAUUGAAAGUGUAAUUUUACCUGAUCCUUCUCCCCGACUCGAGGUAGUUGCCACCAUCUUUUGGCAGAUCUGGAAGAAAAGAAACCAUUUUGUUUUUCGGAAUCACCGUCUGAAUCCCUCCAUGGUAGUGGAAUUGGCUCUAGCUCAAAUCUCAAUAUAUCAGUCUUCUGGUGCAGCACUCCAUCGCUCAAGUUCAAACUCUGGCCUUGACACUGUUCAACCCGAUCAGCUUUGGCGACCUCCGGCAAAGGGCGUCCUGAAAUGCAAUAUCGACGGGAGUUAUCAAGAGGGCACUUCGGAAGGCUCUAUGGCCAGUAUUUGCAGAGAUGAUCGAGGUAAAAUCACUGACAUUUUCUCUAGAUAUUUUCCAGCACACUCACCUUUCGAAUCGGAGCUCCAGGCGCUGAAUCUGUCCCUACAACAUCUAUAUCACCGAGGACUCCAAAACACCCCCAUCGAUCUUCAUACAGACUGUCUUCAACUUGUUGAAAUUGCAAAUGGUCUUCGCCUGCCGCCAUGGGAGCAGAGGCCAGUGAUCGACGAAACCCUAUUUUGGCUCUCCAACUUUCCUUUCCUCUCUUUGUGGCACUGCCGCCGAUCGGCUAACCUAGUAGCCGACUGGGCAAAGCCCAGUUAGCUCACCCGGCCCAAAAACUAUCUCUUUCCUUUUCUCUUCUGCUGGAUCUGCUGGAUCUUUUGUUUGCGGAUGCUUUAGCUGCAGGAUGUAAUCUUCCUCUUUAAUUAAUAUAUAAGUGUGUUUAUGUCAAAAAAAAAAAACAGCGAGGAGAAGAAGGAACAGAGCAUAGAGUAACCACUUAAUUGUGAUAUUUUAAUUUGUGUUUUUUCUAGGAAAAGGCCUCUGGAUAAAUAGAUAAAGGAAACUAGAUGCAUGCUAAUGGACGCAACUAUUCGAUAAUAACAUUUGAAGUCAAAUGUCGGAAAGCUGUAAUGACUUAAACAACAAUAAACUAACUGAUAUAUAACAAUCUAAAGACAAGAUAAUUACUAGACAAUUUAAAACUCUGUCACAAAGUAAAAUAAACGAACGAAAAAUUAUUCAUACACAACAAAAAUGAAAUCAUUUGCAUUCGGUGAACUUGUCUUGUGACUUACGCGGUGUGUGUAAUUGAUACACAAUUUUACUCAGUUUUUGAAAUUUAUGAAGUAGCUUAUAUUGACAUUUGUAUGUUUUUGGAGAUUUUGAGGUGCUCGAUUUCAAAUAAAUUGAAAAGUAUGUCACGGUCAUCAGCAAGGAUCAUGGCUAUUUAGGCGCUUGCCAUCUUCAAAUCAAGAUGGUGGUCGCUUUCUUUUUUUCUUUUUUUGUCUAUCCUACUCUAACUCUCAAUUCACUAUCGAACUUUUGUCAUUCCUCUUUACAGGGUGUGGGAGUUGAAACCCACACCUAAAGGCCGAAGUUUGUCAUCGCCUCUCCAACUCCCUUGAGAAAAUAGGGAUUUGAACCCUAGAUGAUGGUUGCUUUGGAGGCCACCAUUGUGUUAAAUCGACUAUCCUUGUAAUAUUUUGCCAAGGGAAUGUCGAAAAAGGAAUUGAACUCGACAAAUUUGACGAAAAAGGGUUCUUUGUUGAUUUUGGGUGGGAAUGUAAACAACUGUGAAGGUAAAGGGAGUUUAAAGUGUAGGUGCCGAAAAUUGAAGAUUACGAGACUGAUAAAAGGUACCAGAAUUUUAAAAUUAUGUAGGAUAAUUAGCAGGGAUUUAAAGAUGAAAGUAAAUGUGCAUAAGAACGAGAGUUCUAUUGAUGAUUGAUCCAAGGUGCUAAAAGCUAAAACGCGGCCUUUUAUAUUCCAUCGCCAGCAGUUCUCUGCCAAUGAUGAUACCGAUGUUGCUAGUCCUCGCUCCUAAUGCACAUGAGUCAGUGACAAGAAAGUUAUUCAUAUAGUAUAGUUUUUUUCCUAAUGGUUAUCUUAAUAAUUGGCAGACGGGCUUGAUGGAUACCUCCCUCAAGAACCCCAAAAAAAAAAAAAAACACUACGCGAUGAAAGCGGGACAAAAGUAAAGUGAGCCAGUCAUUUUUUUCUCAACUUAACAUUAUAACAUGAGCUUGUCCUAAAUUAAUCCAGAAAAAAAGGCUUUAUUUUACAAUAAUCACCAGAAAUUUCCUCAGCUUUUCUUCAGAUGACAAUGGACAAAGCAUUGGAAAUUUGUCCGAGUCGGCUGAUGCUCAUUGACAGAAUGAAUCCAAGAAAGAAUAGUGGAUAAAAGAGACGAACAUUGAAAUUUUCUGAUGCAACUUGGGCAUAUAAAGACAUUGCUUCAUUUCAACUGCCCUUUUAUCCUGGUAUACCAGGCAUUUAUUAAUAACCUAUUCAAUGAUUUCUCUGUUAUAGUGUAGGUCUUUUUCUAUCUUCUUGGCCUUUUAUUUCACUAUUGCCAUCAUUGACUUCUUGACACGUGUACCAUACACACUAUUAUACAAUCCACUAGAUCCUUGGACGCACAAAUUUAGGAUUUUUUAAGGUUUGUGCCCAAUCCACUAGAUCCUUUGACACGGGCUUGAUGGAUACCUCCCUCAAGAACCCCCAAAAAAAAAAACACUCCGCGAUGAAAGCGGGACAAAAGUAAAGUGAGCCAGUCAUUUUUUUCUCAACUUAACAUUAUAACAUGAGCUUGUCCUAAAUUAAUCCAGAAAAAAAAGGCUUUAUUUUACAAUAAUCACCAGAAAUUUCCUCAGCUUUUCUUCAGAUGACAAUGGACAAGCAUUGGAAAUUUGUCCGAGUCGGCUGAUGCUCAUUGACAGAUUGAUCCAGAAAGAAUAGUGGAUAAAGAGACGACAUUGAAAUUUUCUGAUGCAACUUGGGCAUAUAAGACAUUGCUUCAUUUCAACUGCCCUUUUNNNNNNNNNNNNNNNNNNNNNNNNNNNNNNNNNNNNNNNNNNNNNNNNNNNNNNNNNNNNNNNNNNNNNNNNNNNNNNNNNNNNNNNNNNNNNNNNNNNNNNNNNNNNNNNNNNNNNNNNNNNNNNNNNNNNNNNNNNNNNNNNNNNNNNNNNNNNNNNNNNNNNNNNNNNNNNNNNNNNNNNNNNNNNNNNNNNNNNNNNNNNNNNNNNNNNNNNNNNNNNNNNNNNNNNNNNNNNNNNNNNNNNNNNNNNNNNNNNNNNNNNNNNNNNNNNNNNNNNNNNNNNNNNNNNNNNNNNNNNNNNNNNNNNNNNNNNNNNNNNNNNNNNNNNNNNNNNNNNNNNNNNNNNNNNNNNNNNNNNNNNNNNNNNNNNNNNNNNNNNNNNNNNNNNAGAUGAAAAACUCCAUCGGCAAUCGAUUUUUUACGUGCCAGCACAAGGAAUAUAGGAUCAGACCAAAUAUGGCAGAUUAGUCAUAUGAUCGGAUUUUCCAUGAAUCAAUGAUAAAAGGUACAGAUCCCCCCCCCCCCCCCCCCCCCCCCACAAAAAAAACUAUCGAAGUGAAUCAUAUUAUUUGUGCAUAAAUAUCUUUAAACAGCACGAUGGUUUGCACAACGAAUCACUUUUUGCAUACAUUAUAACCUUGACCUCUCCUAUUAAAAAAGGGAGAUAUGCUCAUUCAAGUCAAGCUGCUUGAGAUUGAGUAGCAUAUUAAUAAUUAAUCGAAAUUGUAUAAACUCCUUGCUUGCUGAAUUUGAGGAGAAUCUAUGCCCCUCUCAAGUCUAUGUUUGAUUCAACCAAAAAACAAAGGUCUAUGUUCAAUCUUUGGCUUUUUCUUUAUCUACUAUUCACGCCCUUUUCAAAUCCAUGCAAUUUCUACCUAGAAGGUUUGAAAUGUCUACACUUUCUACAAUGGUAGAAGGAGAUGUUGAAACUCCAAGGUGUGGACUAGUCUUUAUGAAAUUUUAGGGUGAAAAAUGUUGAAUCUCGAAACCACAGGCGUAAAGAGUUGAUUUUAAAAUUUGAUGUUCUAAAGUAUUAUUAUUAUUAUUAUUAUUAUAGAGGACAGGGGUCAUCUCAAAUAUCAAACUAUCACUAGAAUGUGAUCUCAUGAAUACCUGACAUAACAAUUGCUCUCAUAUUCCAUAUGAGGAAAGCUCAAGACAAUUCACAUAUUGGCUUGCAUCUAAAAAUGUCUAAAGCUUCUGGAGCUCCUAGUCUCCAAGCCCUCCGGGCUCAAUUAGUUUGUCGCAGUCUCGUGCGACAAUUGAGUAGCAUCAUGAAAUCUAUAUACUUUAUAGGUAUCUCAAUCCUUUGAGCCCUGAGAUGUCAGAAGGUUCCCAACAAGCUGUCACUAUCAAGUUCCUUAAAUCUUCAAAUUUCCAAGCAUCUAGGAACUCUAACAACUUGCAUCCUUGAAUACACAAACUUUUGCAGGAUGAGAAUACCUCUAGGCUUUCAAUAUCAUCUUGCUCUUCACAGUGGUUGAUGUUCAGUAUUAUCAGGGUUUUCAAGCAUGAUAGAUCCAAUAAUCUUCCAAGGUAAGUGCAACCACAAAUAUCUAAUAUUACCAAAAAAAAUACAGUCCGUCAACGCCACAUUUCAACCAGACUCUUACAGUUUGCAACAUGAAAUCUCCCAAAUUCUUCAAACUAGAAGGUUAUCUUUCAAUGGACGUGCAAUUAGAGAUAUCCAAUCUUACAAAUAAUCGACCUCUCAAGGCCAUGAAUUUCAACUAGAUUCCCGCAAUCUGCAGCAUAGAAUGCUUUAGACAUUUUGAACUUGAAAGGUCUAUUUAUCUUUCAAUGGAUUGAAAUGUCUGGUCAUCUUUUAAUUGGACAUGCAUUUAAAGACAUAAAACCUUCUCAAAGAUUCUAAUUAAUCAAUCAAGGCCUCAAACUUCAGCUAGAUUCUUGCAGUUUGCAGCGUGCAAUUUGAAGUCUUUAAACUGGAGAAGUCUAGAAAUCUUUUAAAGAAGUGCACCCAGAGAGAUUCGAUCUUGCCAAUAAAUACCAUGAAUUUCAACUAGAUUUCAGCAAUUUGCAGCAUGGAAUAUUUCAAUGGACGUGCAUCCAGAGAGAGAUAGAAUGUUUCCAGAUAUUCUAAAUGGGUCAAAGCCUCAAACUUCGACUAAAUUCACGCAAUUGGCAGCAUAUGAUUCUCUUCGAUUCUUUUUAAACUUGAAAGGACAAUUGAUUGAAUGGACAUGGAACCAGAGAUAUUCAAAUUUACAAGACUCUUGCCAUUGGCAACACAUGAUAGCCCCAGAUGUUUCGAACUCGAAAGGUCCUGCAAAUCUCAACUAGAUUCUCGCGACUCACAGCAAUUUGUUUCCCGUGGAAUCUUCAAAGUUGAAGGAUCCACUGACCCUUUGCCUCUGGAGAACCUGGGAACGCCUAAUCAACGUUUUCUCUUAACUAAUGCCAAAACUUCGUGGGUCUGGUAGCUGCCAGCCCCAACCACUGGGACCACUCCAUCUCCACCACCACCUGGAAGUGACGCUUCAUAUCUUUGUGUAACACUGCUAAUCCUGUUCAUGACUUCAUUACACAUGAAAUCAUUAUUUCUACUAGAUAUAGGUGGACUAUUGAUAGAUCGUGACAUGUUGCUACCCGUCAUAAAGUGAAUAAACUUGUGAAAAUGCUCCUUCUCAUAAUUCCAGCAUGAUUCAUAUAGAUAACAUUGCUCAAACUUGUAAUAGAUCAUAAGUUUCUUUGGAAUAAACAGAUGGUUCGGCUCUAUUUACUGUUCUGGUAUCAUGAAAACCAAGAUUAUUAGAAAAAUUAGAACGUGGCAGAAGACAAAAACUUGCAUGCUGGAAAGUCGAAAUAGAGUAUCAGUAGAACAAAUCCUCAUUGGCAUAGCUAAAAAGUCCCACCAUUGGAAUGACAGAGCAGAAGUGCAAAUUACAUAGUGACAGGAAGAAUGGUGCGAAUCUUGUUAGGAUCAAACUCAACACAAGCAGUCAAUCAAGAACUUGAAAUGACUAUGAAACUAUGAACGCACUCAUGCAGCCCUGCAGCAUAUCAAAUUCACACCUGAUGAUUAGCCUGAAAGAACCUGACGAAUUUGGGGGAUCCAGAGCGCCACGAGUCCUGAAUGACCGCUUUCCUUUGCCUAUGUGUUUUUGUACUUCACCUCCAGAAGCUUCCUUAAUAAUUGUCAAUUAUUAAAUUACUUCGAUCAAUCAUAUGAGAAGAGACAAAAGAUAAAAUUACAGUUGCUAUAUCCCAGAACAAUAAAAAUCCCAAUCCAAUAAAUCAGGAAAAGUAAACAAAUUCAGCUUGUUCAAGUAUAG